RNAcentral lists this long non-coding RNA (208 nucleotides) under Mus spicilegus (steppe mouse). RNAcentral describes it as "lncRNA (ENSMSIG00000004603.1)". Lineage: Eukaryota; Metazoa; Chordata; Mammalia; Rodentia; Muridae. The record is from RNAcentral.
CAUAUACACUCAUACAAAAGAGUCUGGAAGCAAAACAGGAUACGAUGAACUAAAGAUUCUCACUUAUCAAUGAUAAAGACACCUUAAAAAAGGGAAGAAGAGAAGAACCAGUUAUCUGUGGAAUUUAUGAUUCUAUAGGCAGGGGCCCUGUUUGUGGAAAACAGCCACAGAACUUCAUGGGAGAGGAACAAAAACUGGUUCUGGCUUG